UGUUCGGAUGCGCGCCUUGUCCCGCCGUGGUUCACAAGCAGUUGGCGUAUUUCGGGCGUCAUUUUGAGGAUUUUUUUCCCCUUUGUAAGGCAUUACAACCGGUGAUGGGAGGAGAGCGAAAUGUGCAGUCAGUGUUACCUCCCGCGCUGUGAGCAACGGUUAGGCUGGUGCGACGCAGCUGGCAUAGGCAUUUGUCAGCAGGUGGCCAGAACGGAAUCUUACCGAAGUUGGAUGAGAUUAGUUUUCACGCAUGAAACGCAAGCUGGACGGGA
Molecule: long non-coding RNA, 272 nt
Organism: Ornithodoros turicata
Lineage: Eukaryota; Metazoa; Arthropoda; Arachnida; Ixodida; Argasidae
Exons: 3
Source: RefSeq, a predicted model, not a curated record